Molecule: long non-coding RNA, 250 nt
Filed under: Lathyrus oleraceus (garden pea)
Lineage: Eukaryota; Viridiplantae; Streptophyta; Magnoliopsida; Fabales; Fabaceae
Description: Pisum sativum (pea) long non-coding RNA (PSAT_LNC031584)
Source: RNAcentral
CCCACUUCCCCGAGUUGCACUUUUUUGCCUAUUUUUACCGCUUUCCCUUCGUUUUGUUUUGUUGUUUAGGUAGUUUCUAACACAAAAAUAAAAUAAACCAUUUUUUCAAAAAAAGAAACAAAAAUAAAAACUUGAUCCAACGUCGAGUAUUUUUCUUAAAGACCAAACCAUUUAAAAUAAUUAUUUUCAAUCCAUUUCUAUGAUUCUCAAUUUCUUAAACCUUUCAUAUUUCAACAAUUUUCAAACUUUC